RNAcentral lists this ribosomal RNA (252 nucleotides) under Triticum aestivum (bread wheat). Its description in RNAcentral is "partial small subunit ribosomal RNA". The record is from RNAcentral. Lineage: Eukaryota; Viridiplantae; Streptophyta; Magnoliopsida; Poales; Poaceae.
AUGGCAGACAGCGAAACACCCAAUGCCGCAUCCAGCGGAAAUUUAUUACCCCCUAGCCAUGAAUCCAGCUCCAGGAUCAAUGAUGCUUUUGAGCUCUUGUGGGGACAUCGUAAAUAUUUGGUACUGCUUGGAGUCCUAGCAGUUGGUGUGACAUACAAUGCUGGAUUAACACCACCAGGGGGAUCGUGGAUACUAAACAAGGAUGGUCAUGAUGCCGGUGACCCUGUCAUGCAUGAUGGCUUUUCUGAAUGA